GCACCCUAUGUAAGUAUAAGUCGCUCUGUUACUAAUUUACUAUUAGCAGUAGAAACAAACAAACGAACAAACUAGAAAGCAAAAUGCGAUGGCGGCAAUGCGAUCCGGUCAGAGCCUGGCGGUGCUAACUCGAGCGUUGAUCACUCGCUCCAUGGAGUCGUCUCGGGGAGCCACUCGCUACUUGAGCGGAGGCAAAGGCAAAGUCCUCAGCCAGUAGGAGUGCGCCGCCGAGAAUGUCUACAUCCAGAGAAAGGAGAGGGAAAGAUUGGAGAAGCAGAAAGCUGAGAAGGAAAAGGCCGAGAAAGCCAAAGAAAAUGCUGAUCAGACUGCAGGUUAUCAAUUUCGUAGUCGGGAUUAACUGCAUAAACUUGAUGGCCGGGGCUGAUAAGGCGGGGCCAUUUAAAACGUAAACAUACUGUUGUCUUUCAAGAUCUAAAGAACAGUUGAAUAAGAGGAGUUGGCCGGAAUUGGAAGCUCGAGAACGGUCUCUUGUUUCUCAUUGCAUGACAUGACAAACCCAGGAUAGCCACAAUGAUCUGGGUGUCUAUCUUUGAGGAUGAAAGGGAAACGGAUAGGCCGGCCUUGAUCCCCGCACUUCAAUUCUUUGCAGCCAUUCUGAGUUUCCCAAGCACUUUGGAGAAAGCUAUUAACAAUAUGCAAAAGGAAGAGAUGAGUAUUUCCUUCAUUUCUGAGCAGAAUAAAAAAAAGGGUAUUCACGCCAUUCACGAGCAGGCAGGAAAAGUCGAAAAGCCCUGUAAGUCCUUCAACAGUAGUGGGAAUUUUUG
This is a long non-coding RNA of Pyrus x bretschneideri (Chinese white pear), 785 nucleotides long. RefSeq lists it as uncharacterized. The transcript has 5 exons. The record is from RefSeq and is a predicted model, not a curated record. NCBI's taxonomy places the organism in Eukaryota, Viridiplantae, Streptophyta, Magnoliopsida, Rosales, Rosaceae.